UGCAUGUUGAGCUUUAGUUAUAGAUUUGAGAUUGGUAAGGCUUACUACGGAUCUUGGAGACUUUAUGCCGACCCAAGUUCUAAUGCCGGUCUGGCCCGUAAAAUCGGAUCGUGAUAUGCUCUCCACCAUGUUAUGAGUUCGGUUUUCUGAUGCUUGAGGGUCCUUUGGGUUGCUAGUCUUCUUGACGCGAUUUUUGGAUAGAAUCAUUUUUCUUAGCUAUUUGAUUCCUUUGUGCUUCCUCUGGUUGCCUUUGCCUGCUCAGGGACGACUCAGGUUCAGUUUGGAGGUGAGGGCAGCAACGUCAUCUCUCAAACGUCCAUAUCCAAUUGUCGGGGCAAGCUGCAAUUAGGGUUUGGUUGGAUUGGGUCUUAAGCCUUUCUUUUGGUUUGAUUUUGGCUUGGGCAAUCUGUUAGAGCCCUUUUUUGUGAUUAGACUAAACUAGAUGGUGUGUUUGGUCUGCCCCUAUUUUUAGUUGCACCCCUUAUGUUGUGCUAGGCCUCAAGCUUCUUUUCCCACCAUAAUGAAUUAUUAUCUUUGAAAAAAAAAAUUGGAUAAAGGCAUUUGCAGUUAUAAAUUGGCUGAUCGUAACGCUAAUAGGAGUUGACUUAGUAUAUGUCAAAGGCAUAUACUAAGCUGAAAUGGUUUUACGUAUGUCCUUCUGAAAUGGUACUACCUAUGAAGAUAAGCAGAAAAGAAGAGAAUGGUAUUACGUAUGUCCUUGAUGAGAAUUAUGUGCGAAUAUUUUGGUUGGAGAAGCAUAGAACAAAAACUGCAGAACAUUCUCAGUUAUACAAUAUAUAUUUAUUCAAGGAAGAAGUGAUUGUUAACCAACAUAUUCAAUGCCAGGAAUGUACUUCCAAGGAAACCAUCAACAAAAAAGAUUGGAUGAGAUCAUUAAUGCAAUAACAAGCCCAUAACAGAAGCUAGGGCCACAAAACACAGAAUAAACAUUGGAAAGAAAAAGGUUAUAAGAGAAUCACAGUCACCAGAUUACCUUGGGAGUAGCAGCAGCAUGCCAUGGCAGCUAUUCUCUGAUCCAGUUGCAUCUUCUUCAAUCCAAUUAUGUGGAGCAACAGUAAGGAAAUAAGAAGAGGAGUUUACAUCAACACCCAUUAUUUCAAUUUGGUUUUCCAUUUUCUCCACCCCAAGCCAAAUUGAAUUCCGAUUGAACAGAGGAUCUUCCCCGAUAGAACUGCUUCUUUUGAUUGCAAGCUGGAGGCAUUCACAAAUUCUGGCCUCUCCUCCGUUGUACCGACGAUAAAAGAAGCACAGCAGCGAGGAAUUGCAGAGGAGUGAUAAAAUUGGUUGAAGGUGGCGGUGAACGGGCUCUGCAAAAUGCAGUGUGUGUGUUUGACCGCGUUCGUAAAACUACGGGUCGUUGAUUCUGCAAACAAGUUCAAAAAUCAAAAAGGAUCUUAAGGAUUAUUAACUCAAACGAUUUGUCGUAUAA
This 1450-nucleotide unclassified non-coding RNA is filed under the name Hevea brasiliensis (rubber tree). The record is from RNAcentral. Lineage: Eukaryota; Viridiplantae; Streptophyta; Magnoliopsida; Malpighiales; Euphorbiaceae.